This 539-nucleotide ribosomal RNA is filed under the name Microscypha sp. KUS-F52625. RNAcentral's name for it is "eukaryotic LSU rRNA". The stretch from base 183 to 336 matches the Rfam family "5.8S ribosomal RNA". Lineage: Eukaryota; Fungi; Ascomycota; Leotiomycetes; Helotiales; Hamatocanthoscyphaceae. The record is from RNAcentral.
GUGGGUGCGGAGGGAUCAUUACAGAGAACAUCGCCCGCAAGGGUGACUCUCCAACCCUAUGUUAAUUAUACCUUUGUUGCUUUGGCGAGCCGCUUCGGCCACCGGCUUCACGCUGGUGAGUGCUCGCCAGAGGACCCUAAACUCUGUUUAUACAUGUCGUCUGAGUACUAUAUAAUAGUUAAAACUUUCAACAACGGAUCUCUUGGUUCUGGCAUCGAUGAAGAACGCAGCGAAAUGCGAUAAGUAAUGUGAAUUGCAGAAUUCAGUGAAUCAUCGAAUCUUUGAACGCACAUUGCGCCCUGUGGUAUUCCGCAGGGCAUGCCUGUUCGAGCGUCAGUACAACAAUCAAGCCUAGCUUGGUCUUGGGCCUCGCCGGAGACGGCGGGCCUUAAAAUCAGUGGCGGCGCCUGUCGGGCCCUAAGCGUAGUAAUAACUCCUCGCUACAGGGACUCGGCGGAUGCUGGCCAUCAACCCCCAACUUUCUAAGUUUGACCUCGGAUCAGGUAGGGAUACCCGCUGAACUUAAGCAUAUCAAACGG